GCGCGGGUAGCUCAGUGGUAGAGCGUUCGAUUGCAGCUCGAAGGUCAUGGUUAUCCGGUCCCGCGCU
RNAcentral lists this transfer RNA (67 nucleotides) under Phytophthora infestans (potato late blight agent). RNAcentral describes it as "tRNA-Cys". It matches the Rfam family "tRNA". Rfam says of the family: Transfer RNA (tRNA) molecules are approximately 80 nucleotides in length. Their secondary structure includes four short double-helical elements and three loops (D, anti-codon, and T loops). Further hydrogen bonds mediate the characteristic L-shaped molecular structure. tRNAs have two regions of fundamental functional importance: the anti-codon, which is responsible for specific mRNA codon recognition, and the 3' end, to which the tRNAs corresponding amino acid is attached (by aminoacyl-tRNA synthetases). tRNAs cope with the degeneracy of the genetic code in two manners: having more than one tRNA (with a specific anti-codon) for a particular amino acid; and 'wobble' base-pairing, i.e. permitting non-standard base-pairing at the 3rd anti-codon position. Lineage: Eukaryota; Oomycota; Peronosporomycetes; Peronosporales; Peronosporaceae. The record is from RNAcentral.